This 468-nucleotide long non-coding RNA is filed under the name Olea europaea (common olive). Its description in RNAcentral is "long non-coding RNA (OEUR_LNC002441)". The record is from RNAcentral. Lineage: Eukaryota; Viridiplantae; Streptophyta; Magnoliopsida; Lamiales; Oleaceae.
CCCAAUAGACCCCAACACCACAAAGGAAAACAAAAAAUACGCAAAAGUUGAAGACAGAACCCACUUCUCAUUGCAAUCAUUACUUCCAUUCUUCAGGCUGUUGCUCUUGCUGCUAUGCCACCGCCACCCACACCGCCCGCCUCCGGCGGAUGAUCCAAUUGGACUGGAACCCAUUUGCAUGUACCAAUCAAGAAUUCAAAUUCUAUAGCGACUUUUCUUCCUCUUUAUACAUAAAUUCGUAUAAUAUAUCAGUGCAAGUAGAUUUUUUUUCUCUCUCUAAAAUCCUUUGGUUUUCUGAUGAAACUGGGAAGACUUGGAGAGGCGACAAUAAGACCAAACGUGUUUUGGGGGAGACGUUGUCAAUGUCAGCACAUUCUUCGAAAUAUUUAAUGUAUUCAGUGCUCCAUAUCUAAAUACAGGAAAGACACAUGGUUAUAGAAUCCUAUAUAACGUACAACUCAGUGUGUG